Molecule: non-coding RNA, 264 nt
Organism: Dorea formicigenerans CAG:28
Lineage: Bacteria; Bacillati; Bacillota; Clostridia; Lachnospirales; Lachnospiraceae
Rfam family: Bacterial large signal recognition particle RNA
About the family: The signal recognition particle (SRP) is a universally conserved ribonucleoprotein involved in the co-translational targeting of proteins to membranes.
Source: Rfam
UUGUGCAGCCGGGGUGGUAGCGGUACCUUGAACCUGCAAUCCGCUAUAGCAGGGGUGAUGUUGUGCCGAGGGCAUUGGUCUGGUGAAGCCGCCCCUGGUAUGUGGCGUUGAUAUCUGGGUCUUACGCGACGAAAAUCCAUGAACCGUGUCAGGUCGGGAACGAAGCAGCACUAAGUGGAAUCUUUCGGGUGCCGUAAGGGUGCCUGGGUUGAGUUUACUGCCAGGGUAACGUUCGUUGGAUCAUGUUCGACGCACAACGCACGA